Molecule: transfer RNA, 65 nt
Filed under: Calappa bilineata
Lineage: Eukaryota; Metazoa; Arthropoda; Malacostraca; Decapoda; Calappidae
Description: tRNA-Asp
Source: RNAcentral
AAGAAAUUAGUUAAUUUAUAACCUAAACUUGUCAUGUUUAAAUAAUCUUAUUUAGAUAUUUCUUG